Pan troglodytes (chimpanzee) is the source of this 1056-nucleotide RNA transcript. It is a transcript of the gene named keratin, type I cytoskeletal 18-like, with no coding region annotated. The record is from RefSeq and is a predicted model, not a curated record. Lineage: Eukaryota; Metazoa; Chordata; Mammalia; Primates; Hominidae. The transcript has a single exon.
AUGCAAAGCAUGAAUGACCGCCUGGCCUCCUACCUGGAGAGUGAGGAGCCUGGAGACUGAGAACCCGAAGCUGAAGAGCAAAAUCCUGAAGAGCAAAAUCCGGGAGCACCUGGAGAAGAAGGGACCCCAGGACAGAGACUGGAGCCAUUACUUCAAGACCAUCGAGGAACUGAGUGCUCAGAUCUUCGCAAAUAUUGUGGACAAUGCCCACAUCGUUCUGCAGAUAGACAAUGCCCGUCUUGCUGCUGAUGACCUUAGAGUCAAGUAUGAGACAGAGCUGGCCAUGCGUCAGUCUGUGGAGAGUGACAUCCAUGGGCUCUGCAAGGUCAUUGAUGACACUAAUGUCACUCAGCUGCAGCAGGGAGACAGAGAUCAAGGCUCUCAAAGAGGAGCUGCUCUUCAUGAAGAAGAACUAGGAAGAGGAAGUAAAAGGCUUACAAGCCCAGAUUGACAGCUCUGGGUUGACCAUGGAGGUAGAAGCCCCCAAAUCGCAGGACCUCACCAAGAUCAUGGCAGACAUUCGGCCCAAUACGAUGAGCUGGCUGGGAAGAACUGAGAGAAGCUGGACAAGUAUUGGUCUCAGCAGAUUGAAGAGAGCACCACAGUGGUCAUCACACAGUCUGCUGAGGUUGGAGCUGCUAAGAUGACGCUCACGGAGCUGAGACAUACAGUCUAGUCCUUGGAGAUCGACUUGGACUCCAUGAGAAAUCUGAAGGCCAGCUUGGAGAACAGCCUGAGGGAGGUGGAGGCCUGCUAUGCCCUGCAGAUGGGGCAGCUCAACGCCAUCCUGCUGCACCUGGAGUCAGAGCUGGCACAGACUCGGGCAGAGGGACAGCACCAGGCCCAGGAGUACGAAGCCCUGCUGAACAUCAAGGUCAAGCUGGAGACUGAGAUUACCACCUACUGCAGCCCACUGGAAGACGGGGAGAACUUCAAUCAUGGUGAUGCGCUGAACAGCAGCAGCUCAAUGGAAACAACCAAAAGUCCACCACCUGCAGGAUAGUGGAUGACAAAGUGGUGUCUGAGACCAACGACACCAAAGUUCUGAGACAUUAA